Molecule: ribosomal RNA, 429 nt
Filed under: Bacillota bacterium
Lineage: Bacteria; Bacillati; Bacillota
Description: Firmicutes bacterium partial 16S ribosomal RNA
Rfam family: Bacterial small subunit ribosomal RNA
Source: RNAcentral
UAGGGAAUCUUCCGCAAUGGACGAAAGUCUGACGGAGCAACGCCGCGUGAGUGAUGAAGGUUUUCGGAUCGUAAAACUCUGUUGUUAGGGAAGAACAAGUAUCGGAGUAACUGCCGGUACCUUGACGGUACCUAACCAGAAAGCCACGGCUAACUACGUGCCAGCAGCCGCGGUAAUACGUAGGUGGCAAGCGUUGUCCGGAAUUAUUGGGCGUAAAGCGCGCGCAGGGGGUUCCUUAAGUCUGAUGUGAAAGCCCACGGCUCAACCGUGGGGUGUCAUUGGAAACUGGGGAACUUGAGUGCAGAAGAGGAAAGUGGAAUUCCAAGUGUGGCGGUGAAAUGCGUAGAGAUUUGGAGGAACACCAGUGGCGAAGGCGACUUUCUGGUCUGUAACUGACACUGAGGCGCGAAAGCGUGGGGAGCGAACAGG